RNAcentral lists this ribosomal RNA (468 nucleotides) under uncultured bacterium. Its description in RNAcentral is "partial 16S ribosomal RNA". It matches the Rfam family "Bacterial small subunit ribosomal RNA", at positions 28 to 507 of the family's 1533-position model. The record is from RNAcentral.
GACGAACGCUGGCGGCGUGCUUAACACAUGCAAGUCGAACGGAAAGGCCCUGCUUUUGUGGGGUGCUCGAGUGGCGAACGGGUGAGUAACACGUGAGUAACCUGCCCUUGACUUUGGGAUAACUUCAGGAAACUGGGGCUAAUACCGGAUAGGAGCUCCUGCUGCAUGGUGGGGGUUGGAAAGUUUCGGCGGUUGGGGAUGGACUCGCGGCUUAUCAGCUUGUUGGUGGGGUAGUGGCUUACCAAGGCUUUGACGGGUAGCCGGCCUGAGAGGGUGACCGGCCACAUUGGGACUGAGAUACGGCCCAGACUCCUACGGGAGGCAGCAGUGGGGAAUAUUGCACAAUGGGCGGAAGCCUGAUGCAGCAACGCCGCGUGCGGGAUGACGGCCUUCGGGUUGUAAACCGCUUUCGCCUGUGACGAAGGGUGAGUGACGGUAAUGGGUAAAGAAGCACCGGCUAAAUACGUG